UGGACAAAUUAUUGUAUUCGACUGUAUUCACGCGCGUGAAACAUGAGAUUACACUGUUUUUAAACGGAAAGUGAAUCAAUUAACAUAAUAGACUCCU
Molecule: microRNA precursor, 97 nt
Filed under: Nicotiana sylvestris (wood tobacco)
Lineage: Eukaryota; Viridiplantae; Streptophyta; Magnoliopsida; Solanales; Solanaceae
Also listed under: 1 other name
Description: MIR6152 microRNA precursor family
Rfam family: MIR6152 microRNA precursor family
Source: Rfam by way of RNAcentral